Molecule: long non-coding RNA, 3881 nt
Filed under: Canis lupus familiaris (dog)
Lineage: Eukaryota; Metazoa; Chordata; Mammalia; Carnivora; Canidae
Description: lncRNA (ENSCAFG00000055929.1)
Source: RNAcentral
CCUUAUUGUGACAAAGGGUUUUAUCAGACAAUGAUGUAAAAUAGAAGUUCCCUCUACGCCUAUGGUUUAAAGCAUGCAGCUACUACACGAAGGACAAGAAUCUUUAAAAAUGAGUCUUCCGAAAAAAAAAAAAAAACAUUGAGUCUUCUCCCAUAAAGCAGGACAAAGGCGUGAAUGGCGCUGGAAUCACUAAAAUGGACACAUUAAAAAUCAAGGACAGCACGCGGGUCUCUAAGGAAGACUGUCCCGUCCCGUCCCGCCCGGCGGCACCUGCUUCACCGGGACUCCCCUGGGUCACCUGCGGGGAGGCAGCAGGGCGAGCUAGGGGGCGCAGUUGCUCAACACAUUUUCCCGUCCCUGCCAACUUUCCUGGGGCGCACGGUGGCACGAGGUCGCGACGGCUAAGUCGUCCUUCGGGUGAAGCCGCCGCUCUCCGCCCGCCGAGGAAGAGAAGUUAAACUUCGAGAGAGACCUAAUGGACAAUCUCCACAACAGGAUACAAUUGUAGGACAUGUGAGAUGAGCAUGACCCAACCAAGUCUUCACACUGAAAGAUUUACAGUAUGAGGAACUGAAACAAGAUGGCGGAACGUUGCCUUGUGUGAGCUUAGCUAGAAACACACACAUCAGAUGACUCAAAUUUUUUGCCACUCGGCCCACUGCCACUGUGGCUGCAGAAGCACAGUGAGUAUUUAUUUGGGGAUUGCAAAUACAUUUUAGCAAGUUAGAUGAAUUAAAACAAAGAUGGAAUCCACAAAUAACAGGGAUCAAUUAGACUCAUAAAGCAAGUAGAUUAACACCAGGUACCUAGGAAGCUUUGUGUGAGUUUGAUACUUUUAUCAUCAUCAUCAUCAUCAUCAUUAUUAUAUGUUAUUAAAUAUCCUGAGGGCAUUGGGCACCUUUGAAAAGUUUUAUAGGCAGGGAGAGUGCUAUGAUUCAGAUUUGUGUCCUGAAAACAUCACAUGACUUCCGUGUGGCAAAGGUAUCAGGUGGAUGCAGGUGACGGGAGGAUGAUGUCGAGGGACGGGGCAGUGGCAGUGGACAUGGAGAAAAGGGUGGCGCUAAGAGAGACCGUGUAAGAGGUAGCAUUUCUGCCUUCAUGUUGCAUUCCCCCUGGAAUGUGGUUCAGAACUCCACCAGCGCUAUUAUCUGCUCACCUUUGCCCACAAGCCUUCUUAAUCUUCCCAAGAUUACUCAGGAGCUCCUUAUGUAACACUGGGUGACGCAUCUUUUUUUUUUCUUUUUUAAAUUUAAAUUCAAUUAAUUAGCAUAUAGUAUAUUAUUAGUUUCAGAGGUAGAGGUCAUUGAUUCAUCAGCCUUAUAUAACACCCAGUGCUCAUUACAUCACUUGCCCUCCAUAAUGCCCAUCACCCAGUUGCCCCAUCCCCCAACCCGCCUCCAGUGUAGGUGACGCAUUGCAAUCAUGUUAACACUAGACUAGUCAUCAGCUCGUAGUUGUUUAUACAUUUUUCCCUUGCCAGACUGUAAACUCUUGCUGGAUCCCUAGAAUCGAAUUCAGUCCUUGGCACGUAACAUGUGCUCAGAGAAUGUAUGUUGCAUGAGUGGGUGGUGAGCCCUUUCUUCUGUCUCUUUGUGUCCUGAUAACUAGCAGAGUGUGUUGCCCCCAGUUGGGUGAUGAGGAGUAACUAAAGCCUUAGAAUCAUGUUCAGUCUUUUCAAGUGCACAAACAGUUUUUCCGAUACUUCAGAGAAACACUGGGGAUUCGAUUCUGCAUAUGUAGUGGUCAUCUGAAGUGUGAGACCAUCUGGGUUUUUUUUGUUGUUGUUGUUCCCUGAGCAGUUCAUGCUUCCAGCCUCGAGUCCUGAGCACGUUUAUAAAAUGAAGUUAUGGAGUGGAAUGUUCUCGAAGAUUCUCUAUGGUUUGGGCACUCUAGGAUACUGGGACUUACCCAGAACUCGUUGACUCCAAGCCUCUAGCCCUGAGCUCUUCUUACUUUUAAAGCUCAUUAUUUGUAGCCUUUUAAGGCCCUGUGGUAUAAACUUCAAUCCACAUCACCUCCUUUGGGGCUUCCUCAUCAUUCCAGAACUUAGCUUUUUCUAAAUACUUCAGGUUUCUUCCAGACUUCUCUCCACUCCCAGAUAAAGAAAGCUAUUUACCAAACAGGAGGCGUACUGUGUGUUGGAGAUGCACCCUGAUUCCUAUGCGGUUCCAGGGAGGAUUCGGUCAGAACAUCAAUUAUUUCUAUUCAGUGUCUAAAAACAAAUAGCACCCAUGGUUCAAGAAUAUUCUCAGGGACAACGACCAUGAACUUGAGAGCAGUCAACUUUUAAGAUCCUCCUACUUGCCAGAUUCACUCUGCCAGGCCUAUCACAUGUUUAAAUCAUGUGAUCUCACUGGGAACCCCGCAGGAUUGCAUGUUACUAUGCUCCCCAUCUGGUGAUUGGCAAAACAGAAGGUAAAUGGCUCACUGGCUCACUGGAGAUCACCGGCUUUGAAGAGGCCAAUCCAGAGUUUGACUCCAGAGCCCAUUCCCAUAAUUACAACACUGGACCGUCUUCGAUGCACUGGAUUUUCAAGUUCCUCCUCCUCUUCUCCUAGACCCCCUAUGUGAUUUUGUACAUGUUCUUUGACCCAUCCUUCUGGUAACGUGGCCAGAAAAAUGAAAGUGGUCAUGUGCUAAUGCCAAGGAUGUUUAUGUUUCUAAGCAGAUACCUGCUAACGGGUGGGUGAUGCCAAGCUUCCUAUAUGGCUUGAACCAAAGUCACUCUAUCAGCCAACAAACUGAGUUGGGUUUUGUCAGAUGAUACUGUUACCAAGUUGGUCAAGAGUAUGAAGAAGGGGGCCCACUAAUCACACACGAAAAGGAGAACUGCACGUGUUAAAUAAAAACAUACCAUCUUCAGGUCUUUAAAAUAUUCUCAAAUGAACUAUAUCUCUAUUGUGUGAGGAUGCUCCAGAAUGCACUUGUUCAAAUUCUUGGAAAGUGAAAGCCAUUCAGAAGAUCAUGGUUUACCACUCCCCACCCCCCGCAUCUUCAGUUGGGUCUGAGUCUUGGUGCCAUGGCGAUUAUCCAUGAACAGCAUGCUUGGUUUGGUUUUCAAUGGCACCUUCUCUUGGCUCAUCAGCAAACAAGAUUCUACUCAAGUAGCAGAAUUGGGGGGAAACAUCUAAUUCCACGUGACUGAUGAAGAUCAGUUGAGAUGUAUAUAUGGUCUCAGUCACUUUCUCCUCAGAGCUGUCUGGGAAAAUCUGCAUGACUUCUUCAACAUAUAUUUCAAAAGCAUGUUGAUAAGCACAUGGGGAUAUCUGGAUUACCAACGCUAGGAGUUUUAGAUAUUUGUAUUAAGCUGUUGAUGUGGAGCCUCACUGAAGCUUUUAGGGUCAUAUUAAAAACAAGCCUCCUGACACCAUAGUAACAAUGGGGAAAAGGAUCAAUAUGCCCCAUGCCUAUACUAAUAAUAGGGAACAACUUCCUUAUUUUCCCAGCCAUAAGAAGCAUCUAUAAGCUUAUUUAUUAACCGCCGUCACCCACACUCAUCAAUGAUGUUGAGUAUUUUCAUGAGAUUACUAAAUACAGUAUGAAGGUCUUUAUGGCCCUAUAGCAUCUGCAGUGGCAGUUUUAGAAUACCUGUAAAUAAAAUAAAAUAAAAAGAAUACCUGUAAAUAGAUAUAGGCAGCGUUUAAGAGCUUCGAGGGGAAGAUAGGAGACUUGUAAGGACAUUACAUUGUACAGGAGACAGACUGAUUUGUGGUGAGAAAGGAAAGAGAACUUGAUGGAGAUGAUGGAGGAGCUUAAGUCCCUUCCCCAACCACCAUUGACGUCCCCAGUGCCCACCCUGUGUCAGACAUGCAACAAGCAACAACAUGUGCAUUAGAGAAUAUCAGGGUUUUUUUUUUUAAGAUUUUAUUUAUUGAUUCGUG